CCUACGGGUGGCUGCAGUGAGGAAUAUUGGUCAAUGGGCGGAAGCCUGAACCAGCCAAGUAGCGUGCAGGAUGACGGCCCUACGGGUUGUAAACUGCUUUUAUACGGGAAUAACGCGCCUUACGUGUAGGGCUUUGCAUGUACCGUAUGAAUAAGGACCGGCUAAUUCUGUGCCAGCAGCCGCGGUAAAAAGGAAGGUCUGGGCGUUAUCCGGAUUUUUUGGGUUUAAAGGGAGCGUAGGCCGCAUGUCAAGCGUGCUGUGAAAUGUCCGGGCUCAACCCGGGCCUUGCAGCGCGAACUGGCGUGCUUGAGUCCGCGGAAGGCAUGCGGAAUUCGUCGUGUAGCGGUGAAAUGCUUAGAUAUGACGAAGAACCCCGAUUGCGAAGGCAGCUUGCUGCAGCGGAACUGACGCUGAUGCUCGAAAGCGCGGGUAUCGAACAGGAUUAGAUACCCUAGUAGUC
RNAcentral lists this ribosomal RNA (460 nucleotides) under uncultured bacterium. Its description in RNAcentral is "partial 16S ribosomal RNA". It matches the Rfam family "Bacterial small subunit ribosomal RNA", at positions 338 to 795 of the family's 1533-position model. The record is from RNAcentral.